CUCUCUCUUCAUUAAUUUAAUCCUAUUAAUGUCUAAUCUCCUGCUCCUUCAUUUACAUUCUUUUUCUUCACCAAUUUAAUAUCAUUAAUGUCUAUCUCCUCCCCCUUCAAAGUAUUUUUCAACAAACUUUCUCCUCCUUAUCCUCCUGCACUCUCUCUCUUCCCCUAUCCUCUCCAUGUCUCUCUCUCCCCCUUUCUCCAUAGCUCACACUUCUUUCUCCUCCUUAACAUUUUUGAUAGUUCUUUUGUUACAUUUUCUUAUAUAAAUGUAUAUGCAUUUCAUUAUCUUUUCUUCUAUUUCAACCUCAAAUAAUGUCAAGGGUAUGAAACAUAUCAUUGAUGAGCUUCCACAACAUCCUCCAAGGUUUGGCAGCUCAUGCAAUGCCAAGUUUCUACAAGUGUUUGAAGAAAUUCUGUCAAAUGAAGUAAUUAAGAUGUUCAUAAAGACAUGCUUUGGCGAAUCGUUGAAAAAAUUACAACAACAAAAAAAAAAAAGAGGAGAAGAUUGAUUCUGCAAAUAGAAUAGGGAGAAGAAAAUUUUGAAAAUACAUAUAAUAACUAAUUAUGUUUUUUGGAGA
This is a long non-coding RNA of Capsicum annuum, 577 nucleotides long. RefSeq lists it as uncharacterized. The transcript is spliced from 2 exons. NCBI's taxonomy places the organism in Eukaryota, Viridiplantae, Streptophyta, Magnoliopsida, Solanales, Solanaceae. The record is from RefSeq and is a predicted model, not a curated record.